Hipposideros armiger (great roundleaf bat) is the source of this 736-nucleotide long non-coding RNA. RefSeq lists it as uncharacterized. The record is from RefSeq and is a predicted model, not a curated record. Lineage: Eukaryota; Metazoa; Chordata; Mammalia; Chiroptera; Hipposideridae. The transcript is spliced from 3 exons.
CAGCAUGGCUUAGGGAACAGGGGCGAUAGACUGAGGGGACAGAAAAGCAUUGGCUCAGGGGCAACAGGGACGGCAACUGUAAAGUCAGUUUGGGCGAUGGAGGAUGCUGCAGGACUGGUGUGGCUGCCUUCUGGAGGCUGCCUGCAUUCCUUGGCUUGUGGUCCUCUUCCAUCUUUGAAGUCAGUGGUGGCUGGUCAAAUCUCUCUCCCAUGGCACCACUCUGCCACUGCCUCCCUCUUCCACCUUUCAAGGACCCUGUGAUUACACUGGGCCCAUCUGUAUACUCCGGGAUCGUCUCUCUAUUUUAAGAAGCAGCUCCUUCAUUCCGCAAGGCUGAGAGGGGAAUUCAAGUCUGGAAGAGGAAACAGCCUAAAAGUGGACAUCAGACAUCCCUGUUCCCAUCGCUGCAUCCCAACCGACACAGUGCGUUACAGGAGACGUCUUAGAGACCUGUCGCCCCACCAGAUUUUGAGGACCUGUCCUACUGGACAGACAGCCUUCUCUAAUUUCUUCUCUUUUAGAACUAUGGGCUUCCCCAAAUUCCUGACCCUGGUGUAAAACAAAAAUCAUUUUACUUCUGUUCUAAUGCAGUGAUUUAAAACUUUUUUUUUUUUUGGCCUUAAGCUGUCCUUUACAAACCAUAUCCCAGGCUUUACUAGGUCUGACAAUAAAGUUUGGGAGCUUGUUGCAACGAUGUUGCGAACCUUUUUUGAUAUCAGAGGGAUUAUUCAUUAUG